UCCAGAUCCUCCCUGUACAAUGCAAUCUGAAAAUUUGUUGUGUUCACAUACAAAUCAAUAUCUCAAAUGUGCUACAUAUAUACACACUGUUAUUGUAGAUUUUUGGCUCGAAUCGGAUAAGCUGGAUUUGGUCAGCGACCACAGGAUGGUGACGGUCAGAUCUGUAAAAUAAGUCUCUGGUUGGAGUUGGUUCUAAUGAGAAUAUCUAAUAUUCAAGUCAGAAGUUUGGAACAGAUAGGAAGGAGCGAGCAUGAGAGAAGAGAUUGCAUAUCUUGGGAUCCUUUG
Molecule: long non-coding RNA, 285 nt
Filed under: Elaeis guineensis (African oil palm)
Lineage: Eukaryota; Viridiplantae; Streptophyta; Magnoliopsida; Arecales; Arecaceae
Description: long non-coding RNA (EGUI_LNC045913)
Source: RNAcentral